RNAcentral lists this unclassified non-coding RNA (427 nucleotides) under plant metagenome. RNAcentral describes it as "partial contains 5.8S ribosomal RNA, internal transcribed spacer 2, and large subunit ribosomal RNA". It matches the Rfam family "Bacterial small subunit ribosomal RNA", at positions 358 to 777 of the family's 1533-position model. The record is from RNAcentral.
GGAAUAUUGCACAAUGGGCGCAAGCCUGAUGCAGCCAUGCCGCGUGUAUGAAGAAGGCCUUAGGGUUGUAAAGUACUUUCAGCGGGGAGGAAGGCGAUAAGGUUAAUAACCUUGUCGAUUGACGUUACCCGCAGAAGAAGCACCGGCUAACUCCGUGCCAGCAGCCGCGGUAAUACGGAGGGUGCAAGCGUUAAUCGGAAUUACUGGGCGUAAAGCGCACGCAGGCGGUCUGUCAAGUCGGAUGUGAAAUCCCCGGGCUCAACCUGGGAACUGCAUUCGAAACUGGCAGGCUAGAGUCUUGUAGAGGGGGGUAGAAUUCCAGGUGUAGCGGUGAAAUGCGUAGAGAUCUGGAGGAAUACCGGUGGCGAAGGCGGCCCCCUGGACAAAGACUGACGCUCAGGCGCGAAAGCGUGGGGAGCAAACAGGA